ACCUCCCGCUUCCCGGUUAGCGUGCGCGGGGCCGGCCACCCAGCCCUCCCUCCCAGCGGCGCGCACCCGCGGAGGUAGGUGUCGGCACUAAUUAAUCGCGGCGCGUGAUAGACGAUGUGCGGUGUGAUAUGAGCGCGGAACGAGCAUCAUCGCCAGGUGAAGCCGGCGACGCGAGAGCCGAGCGCUGGUGGCCAGGUCACGGGGUCGGCGCCCUUGGAGUUCUCCCGGGUUGGCGAGGUGGUGGGCCAGGGUGUCCCAGUUAUCCGUGGCUGGGCCCGCGGGCCGCGGUGGCUGGGGGUGUUCUGGAACAGAUGGAAACGUAGUUUAUUGAUCACGAAUUUGUUUGAGAAUUGUUUAAAAACUUUCAAGUGUUUCCCCCACCCCACCCCAGCACUGUCCCAUUUAAGGAUACUGCAGACCCAGCGCAGUGGGUUAAGGGCAGUGACACCGAGUCAGUCCUCAACGGCUCGGCGGUGGCUCGCUUUUCCUGGGACCUUGGUUGAGUCGUUUGAAGUCAAGCGGGUGUCUGCUUGGGUACAGUUCAUUCAUUCAUUCAAUAAAAGUUUGGUCCCAGCAGCCCACCUGGUGCCCAGGUACACCUCCGAACCCCACGCCCAUCCCCCUUCUACAAGGCCUCACUUCGUGAACCUGAGAGAUGGCAGCGCAAUUCAAAGUCAGCAGAGAACACUCGGAAUUAAGAACAGGAAGCGAAAUCUUCACUCCAGACUCUCAUGGUCUAUCUAUAUCUGCUACCUCUCCUGACAGCGGGGCCCAGACAUUCUCGGACUUUGCAGAAAAGUUGCUGUGUCUGCCCUUCCACCCCAUUCCCAAAUCAGCCAGGUUCUGAUCACGCUCUGGAUAUGUCCUCUCUUUCCACACAAAAAUACACCUUCUGUCGACAGAAACCUCAAAGGAACUGUCAUCCACCAAAACAAAAACGGAUAAAAAUAUUCACCCUAUAGACCAGAAUGUUCUCAUAAAUAAAUUCCACAGUAAGGCUGUCUGAAACUAUGACUUAGUCAUUCACCAGCUAGAUUAGAGACUACCUAAAGAUUGAGUUUUUUAUCUUUACCUAUUAAAUAAAAACCUCUUGCUUGAAUUUGAUUAAUUGAUCGACUGUCAUUUUUAAAAAUUGGUGAAGGCUUAUAAGGAGGAGGAACAGGCCAGAUUUUUGUUAAGCUCCAUUUGUUCCAAAGCAUCUUCCUUUCCUGCUUCUAAUGUGGCUGAAGAGCAAAUACAUUGUAUUUAAGAGGAACAAGGUAAAUAGUAACCAAUACAACCUUGAUACUUAUGCCAGGAGCUACACAUUACUACAAAGAAUAUAAUGAAGAGUCUCCUUAUUUGGAAAUCCCUGAGUUGGGUUACCAUCUCCCCCCUUUUAGAUAAAUAUGCCGCCUGAACUUUGAAAGGAGUGAAGCUGUCCCAUGUCAUAUGCUGACACAUAUUCCAGGCAAGUACAAUCAGGACUAUUGUCCUAGAAUGUAUAAAGCAAGGUCAGGCUUCAGCCAUUUCAACUUCUAACCUGGCAGGCCAUUCUUGGGAAAAAAAAUUUUUUUUUCUUUUUUUUUAGUGUAGCUUUCACCUAUAUUUUAUUAUGACCAACCACUGAUGAACAAAUAAAGCAUUUACUUUGUAAAUAUAUGACAGCAGGUGGAAUCAAUGGUUUACAGGUAAGCAAAGGCCACUAAGAGCUCUGAAACACAAGCUCGUUUGUGGUCUGUUCGGCUUUCUGUUUUCACCCGACACAAAGUGAAAGAUGAGAUUUUACUUAAUUGGCAUGGUGAGCUGAUACUGUCUACAGUUUUCACUCUAGCAGUUGACCUACCCAGGGCCUUAAAAGUUUUAAUUUAAAAAAAUUUAAAAAAAGCUUUCAGGUUCAGAGGCCACCAUGCAUGACCUUUUCAUAUGAAUUAGUGAUUUAUUUUAAUAGGUUGUUACCAUUUUAAGUGCCUGGUUUAUGCUUUGAGAGUGGAGCAAUCCAUUAGCAUAAUUCUUGGAACAGUCCAGACUGGAGAGUUUUCCAGUGGAAGGGGCCUCUUGUUUGGCUCAGGGAGAGAUGGAAGUCGUGGAAAUUUCAAGCUCUGAAGAGGGGCAAAGGGCCAGAAUGUCCCGGGUGUAAAGUGCCUGGUUCAGGUGACCUGCUCCCUGCCAAAGCCAGCAAGUGGGGAUAAUAACACACCCGUAACCUAAACACUAGGUCACCCCCAGCUAUGACUUUGUGAAACAGGGGGGGGUCCCAUGCUAUACACACCGAUCCACAGCUCCCUCCAGCAAAGCAUACUUUACAACAAUGGAUGGAUUGGCAAGGGGUUUCUUUUUCUUUUUUAGUGGUCUUGUAAGCUUCAUAUUUAUGGGUGGAUGUGUUCCUUGGCUUUUUUGCAUCUUCCUGUCUGAGAAAGAAUGCCUCGUCUGCUUUUAGAAGCAAUAUACUCGCUAUAGCUCAGAAUCUUGAAAACGUUUUUACACUUAAUGGUGUAAUUAAGUUUUUGGACAAGCCAUGUGUUCUUCUUGGACUUUCAUUAGAUGGGUCACUGUGAGGUUCCAGAGAAAAUAAAAUUAUGAUAUUAUUUUAAUAGCCUAGGAAACAAAUAGGUUUCUACCAAAACAGAAACCUUUUAGCUGUAAGUUUUUAAUAAUAAUGUUUAGUACUUCAAUGGGGCUUUCUGUCUUUAAAGCACAUUUUGCACUUUAACUAGAAUGACUAGUUAGAAAUUAGAACUAAUUAGAAAUUUGCAACGACUAGAAAUUGUUGUUGCAAAUGAAUGUGACUUGAAACCUGUACUAUACACAUGAUGAAGCAGGUAUUGUAAAAAGCCUUCCUAGUUAAUCCCUGAUGAGAAGGUUCUAUUACUUAAUCCCAUAAAGUUCUUAAAAAUCUAAUGUACUGCUUAUCUAGGGCAUUUUUUUCCUUGUCACACUCACCAGUUAACAGUGACAACCACAAGGUAACCCUAAACUUGCAUUCAAAGCUAAACAUGGUGUUCAAGUUAGCGAAACUUCCUUUCAAAAGCUGACAUCAAGGAACUAACUACAGGGCCACACGAAAUUCCCCAAUUUGAUUCCUAUUAAUUCUAAAAUAAUUUAUUUUUAACUUAGAAUACACUCUAAUCAAAACAAAAUAUGGAGGCACGUUGGCCAAUGUGUUUGGACCCAAUUUUUUGAGCCAGUGGCUUUGGGAUACAGAUCAAACAUCUUAAAAGUCCGGUUCACAAAAUGAGGGAAAUUGGGUCUUUAGUCUCUUGAUGGAUCUUCCCUGACUCUGAUGGAUGGACACCAUCAAAGAGAGGAAUGUCCUGGUCUCUAUGAUGCCCAGUUCCCAAGACCCUUAGAGCCUUUCUCAUGACAUUCCCAGGAGUGGACUUUUAACAAAGUCACCAAACACUUUGAAAGAGGAACACAAUAGAGUAGAGUCUACACUGUUCCUUUUAAAAACUGAAACCUUAACAAUGAUACACAUGAUAGCCCUGCAAAGAUUCAAGGUAGAUAAUUUGGAUGAGGGGCUUACUGACAUCAACCACAGAUCAACGGACCCUCUUACUGGAGGUCCUAAUUGAGGGGUGAGGUAUGUAAAACUGUUACCACUCUAUAGCAGAAGAGUUAAUUUUCCUAAACCAAACUAACUUUUGUUAGGUAAUGGGAAAGCCUGUUGCUUCAAACUUUUAAUUUGGCGUUUAGGAUAGAAAUUCAUCCAGGAUGAAAAAUAAUGCAGGGAGGACUAGUUAACAAUAGGUACAGGGUCAGCUCACUUGUGUCUUUGUUCACAAGAUGUCUUAGUUAAAUGACAUUUUGAUUCAACAUCUUAUUAAACAAGUACCAACAGGAAAAAACAAAAAGCAAGUUGGUGCAAUCAAGAGAGCCCUAAAGUCCUAAUAAGAUAUCUUUCUAAAAAGAAAUCCUUUAAUUGUUCUGAUUUUAAAGAUUUUGGGAUUUUUUUUUUCCCAUUGCAUUCAAUUCUUCAAAUUUAGCCCCAUAUAAUUAAGUGUUUAGAGUGUUAAAUACUCUGGAUGAAUCAGGUAAUAAAUUUCCUUUCAUUAAGUGCUGUUUUGUGUAUAAAGGAAAUAACUGCUAAAUACAACUUUUACCAUCUUGGUGUUUUUACUGUAUUUACCUACCAACCAAGUGUAGAUGACUGUUUUCAAACAGGCUUGCAAUUAGUUACUAGCCUCAGUUUGGGACAAGUAAGUUUCUGAUGGGGCUGUGGAUGUUACUUGCCUUCGAAGCCCCCCACCACCAAACCCACUUCCAUCUGUUGUUGGUAAACCCAGAAUUAAGCAAUUAAUGGGACAUAAUUAGUCACACAUUUAUCUGUGGAUACAUUUUCAUCUUUCUGUGUUUGCCCACACAUGUUGAAAAUGAAAUAGAAAAAUGUGUAAUUAUAGUUUAGCUCCGCCUCCUUCCCUGGUUUUAUUUUGAGGGGCACAAAUGCUUGGUUCCCAGAGAAGCCCCAGCUUUGCUCCUCCCCCAUCCAUCUCCGUUUAGCCUCUGUUUGGUCACAACUCAGUAUUUGCCCAGAGAGUGCCCUCGCCUCUGCCAGCGGUCCAUGGAGGACUGGGUGGUGUGCACAGCCCUCUGCCUGAUGAGCCAGGAGCUACUCAACUCAGCAAAGCCCAGAUGCUACAGUGACUCCUCGGGUCUUUGCCGACCUCUGCAAGUUAUGAGGAAGAGAGAACUAGCCAGCGAAACAACGGGCAUUUGCAAUCAGUCUGGGAUCAGAUGGAAAGGAGAUGUUUUCACGAGCUACAGACCUCAGCUGUGCCCACAGCCACGUCCCAGGGUCUCUGCCUGCCGCCCAGAACUGGGAAGGCGGCCUCUGCCCGCUUUCUCGAACAUUCCUGUUUCUUGGUCGCUGAAGUCUCUACUACCUUCUCAGAUUACGGCUCCUUUUGUGCUAAUUACACCGAAAAAAUUGAAAGAAUGUCGCUGACUUUACAAAGAACACAAAGCAGGCUUGCUUAAAAAACUAAAUAUAGCCAAUUUCUUUCAGAAGGGGGACCACUCCGCCUUCAGGAUGAUUUGCACUGUUUGGAUUAACUGCAGACGGACAAUUCAUUUAUGAAGACCCAGGUGACAGAAAAGAGGAUACAUUUAAAAUGUGGGUCGCUCUGGGGGGCCGUUCACAUGAAAUCCCAAGAUCUGAUUAAUGAUGAACUGCCCCCCACCCCACCCCACACACACACCCAGCGCUUAAUUGUAAAAUAAGACUUGCCAGUGAUAGCAGGCUAAUAUAAGCUACCAUGAAAAGAGGAAAGAAAUGGAAUGCCACUGUGUAGAAAGCUAUGUACCACGCAGGUAAAAAUAUAAAUGAGAGGAAAAGAAAGUCUUAACUUCUCAUCCCGGAAGGCUGCUCCUGCCACAAAGCAAGAGGAUGCUGUUUUUGCAACUCCCUGUUCUCUAUUAUAUAAGGAAUGGUAUUUUAAAAGACAGAACUGGGAAGCGCAUGUUGCUGGCCAAGAAGAUUAUGGAUGGCAUCCCCAUGCUCCUUCUAUGAAAUCCUCUAAGGGUUAAUAGGUGAACAGUAGCCACUUGGAAUGAUUUAUUUUUCCAAGGAACAUUAAAUACUGAAUUGCUCAUGCUGAAAUAAUGCCACAGCUGUGACCCUUAGGGCUGCAUUUUGGACACUGGUUCAAGUGACAGGUGUACUCGAUGUAUGCCCAGCUUGGCUGAAAUUGUGAGGCCUAACUCAAGUUUUCCCCCUUGACUCGUUGGUGACAACUCUGGAGCCAGCCAGGAAAGGGCCUUUUGCACAUGGAAGGCCACGUGUGCUCAGCCGUCAACAAAAACGCCAGCCUUGGGUUGGGGAGGCGGUGGAUGGGGGCCCCUGCUCCCUGAAUAGAAAACAAGAAAAUCAAGACAGAAGACAGUGGGGAGAGGAAGUGGGAGCUGAGAAGUCUGAUUUGAAAUCCUUCUAGGUUUUAAAGCAAACAGAUCUGUCCUUGGAGGAUUUUAGCAAAUGAAGCCAGCCUGGGAUUCUAGGAAAUGUGUCACCAAAAUUGGUAUUACUAGAGGAAGUGGCACAAAGCUGGAAAUUCGGAGUCUAAUCUGUAACAUACUAACUACACCUAUUUUUAUCCCAGGGUUGCAGUGACCUAACACCAAGAAAUGAAAACUAGCCCUUCAUCGAUAGAAGACAUGAACACCUUGAGAGUGGGGUGGCAGGGCAAAGGUUUCACUAGGUCCCUUCAUCUGACCAGGAGUUAGACAUCAGCAGUCACUCAUGAAGGCAGCUAAUUUUUGAGGAAAGCCAAUGAAGGCUCCAGACCAAACCUUGGGAGCUCUGGUGUGAAGUGAGCAACUCUGCAUUGUCAAAAGUCUGGCCUGAGCAAAAUGCCUAUAGGGUGUCCUAGUGGUUUGGAGAGGGCAAGAAGAAGGCUGGGUAAGUCAAGAAGGAGCCCAGAUGAAGCUUUCUUUCGUCUAUGCCACCAGCCACAAAGGCAUGGGGUCCCUAUCUUUUGGCCAGGUGGCUGAUGGACAGAGAACCACCUCCAGAAGUUGACAAAUGUCCCACUUUGGGGCCUGGUUCCAAUAAGGAUGCUUCUCAUGAAGAUGAUGGUUGAAGCUGCUGCUCCCUUAUUCUGAAAAGGUGAACCUCUACCUUCUGAGUACAGGAUGAUUUCAUAAUUGGAUUCCCUGGGAGCUGCUUCAAAAAGCUCGUGAAAGAAUCUUUCAGAGGAAGCUGAUAUAAAACUUAGUUGGGAUGCAGAGACAUCUAAUCUUCAAGCUAAAUGGAUACUGUUUACUCAUAACCAUUCAAAGCAUCCUAAAGUCUAGAAAGACCCAACUCAAGUUCAGUUCAGUCGCUCAGUGGUGUGCGACCCCAUGGACUGCAGCACACCAGGCCUCCCAGUCCAUCACCAACUCUCUGAGUUGACUCAAGACCGGGCACAAAGACCUAACUAGUUAGCUGCAAAUUCCUAUCAUGGUGUUAUUAUUAACCCAGGCCUCAGGGGGGCGCUCCAGAGCAGGGGAACUGAAAGUCUUUCUCAGCUUUCAAAGUGAAUUUCUUAAAUAGUUUUGAGUAAAAAUCAGUAAUCAGCUUAAAUACGUUUCACUGAUCUGCCACAAGUUAGUUGAAUGCAACAGGGGAAAAAAAAAAACCCAAAUUGUGAACUAACUAGGGUGAUCCCCAAGGAUACUUAAUGUUUUCAUCUCAGAUAUAAGAUAACUUUAUAUUUCAUUUGCCUUGCACAUUCUUAAAUGUGCUAAAUAGAUGUGUAUUCCUCACCUUGGCAUAACUAUAUAUCCUCUAGAUUUACUGAGGGUACAGAAGGCAGAGAAGGGAACUUUGUAAAAAAGAAGAAGAAGAAAGCUAAAGAAUAAAACUCUACAACAAAAAUUUAAUUUCUAAAAUGGAUGCCAAAGUAGAAGAGAUAGUGAGAGAAAACUAUAUGCGUUUUCAGUAAAACUACAAACACACUAAAAAAGGUACUAGCAACAUGAAAACCCCAGGGAAACAAACAAAAUCACUCUAAUUUAUAGGUGAACCCUUGCUGUACCUUCCUCCCAACACCUGAGUUCUGUGAAACCACCCAGUUGUCACUUUUUUCCUCUUAGCAAUGUGACAUUGAUUUGUCAUUAUUAGAAUUCAGAGGUCUGCUUAAUGAACUCUUAAUAAAUGAAAGUUAUCAAUUCUUGACCUUUUCCCCCUGUAAUUCUCGGUAUGUGGUUAAACUGUUGAAAAAGUAUCUUCAAGGUUCUGUGACUAUAAAAUAAAAAUAACAGAUCAAGGCUGGGUGGCUUGGGAAGUCUGAGCAGAUUUGGGUUCUGCCCUGUCUGCACCCCAGAGGGAAAAUGA
Bubalus bubalis (water buffalo) is the source of this 7792-nucleotide long non-coding RNA. RefSeq lists it as uncharacterized. The transcript has 2 exons. NCBI's taxonomy places the organism in Eukaryota, Metazoa, Chordata, Mammalia, Artiodactyla, Bovidae. The record is from RefSeq and is a predicted model, not a curated record.